Molecule: long non-coding RNA, 915 nt
Organism: Humulus lupulus (European hop)
Lineage: Eukaryota; Viridiplantae; Streptophyta; Magnoliopsida; Rosales; Cannabaceae
Exons: 2
Source: RefSeq, a predicted model, not a curated record
AAGCAAUUUUACUUUUUAGUAAAUAAUUAAUAAUGCACUUUAGACAUUUUCUUCUUUGGAUUGUGAGAAUUUACUAUUUAUUUAUGAGAAAUUGGUUAGAAUAUCUUUAAAUAUGAAAGAGUGUACGUUUAUGUAAAUACCCCUCCCUUAUUUUACUUCAAAUAUAAUAAAAUGGAUUAUCAUAAUUUUAUUUUUAUUUUAUUUUUAAAAAAGAAGAAAAACAGAAUCUUAAUCCCUAAAUCUACUCGACCUCCCUUCUUCUACUUCACUCACAGCACCCCCCAUCUGCGACGGCGAACCCCUGCAACGCGACCCCGUGCGACGGCCUCUAGCAACGUGAGCCGCCUACCCCUUUCCCCCGUGUGACUGGAUCCCGUGACCUUCCCCUAUGCGAUGGCGAACCUACAGACGGCGAGCCUCCUGCAACGCGACCCCGUACAACAACGAGCCCACCCAAAUUGUGCGAUUGACCCCUCCCGUUUGCUCUCCGACUGCCAACUCUGUGAGUGAAGUGUGAGUUGUCAACAAAGAUGAAAUCUUCAGACGUACCGUCACUGAGACCAAUCUUUAUGGAGAAUGAACAUUUUGCACCUUGUGUAUCUGUAGCCUACAAAAUACAAGUGUUGAGGAUAUACAUUCAUUACUUUGUUAUGAAGAUUUGGAAGAUUUCACAUCUUCUGAAACUAAUCAAUCUAGCAAAGAGUAGUGGACAGUUAAUCCAUUAUUUAUUAUUUUUAUUGAGGCGAAUAGAAAAAGCAACAAAAGUGUUCCAAUUAUGGAUGUUAUGGACACAACAAAGCCACAUGUAAUGUUUUCUUAAUAAUGUGUAAUUUAUUUUGGGUUUGGUUUGAUAUGUAAUGUUUUCAUAAUAAUGUGGUCUAACGACCCAAAAUUGCUAAUAAGGCUUGAGAGACU